CGCGUAGGUGGCAAUCCAAGUCAUAUGUGAAAUUCCAGGGCUUAACCCUGGAGCUGCAAGUGAAACUGGAUAGCUAGAGGUAAGGCGGAGAAAACGGAAUUUCCCGUGUAGCGGUGAAAUGCGUGGAUAUGGGAAGGAACACCGGAGGCGAAGGCGGUUUUCUAGCUUUUACCUGACACUGAGGCGCGAAAGCGAGGGGAGCAAACA
RNAcentral lists this ribosomal RNA (207 nucleotides) under uncultured bacterium. RNAcentral's name for it is "partial 16S ribosomal RNA". It matches the Rfam family "Bacterial small subunit ribosomal RNA", at positions 568 to 774 of the family's 1533-position model. The record is from RNAcentral.